This is a long non-coding RNA of Diospyros lotus (date-plum), 6506 nucleotides long. RefSeq lists it as uncharacterized. Lineage: Eukaryota; Viridiplantae; Streptophyta; Magnoliopsida; Ericales; Ebenaceae. The transcript is spliced from 3 exons. The record is from RefSeq and is a predicted model, not a curated record.
CGACCAAAGUCGGGAAAAAUGAAGAAAUUACGCUUACGUCCUAUUGUUCGAUUUGAUCGCUAGUACUUUUGUUUCAACAUUAAACAACCAAAAGGUUGUUCUAAUAACUAAAUUAAAGUGUAUUUUGAGUUCAAUUGACUUUUUGUGAACGAAUUACGACGAUUCGUGUUUUCGGCCUGAUUUUUAGCUGCACAAAAAACUGUUUCCGAUCAGAUUUUUUUCGAUGUCAUAAUAAUCGUAUCGAAAUUCUGGUUCGUUUCAUAUAAUUGUUUUUAGAUAUCUUGAUUUCGGAGCACUCCCUCCAAUCCAUUCGGUUACUCAUAAUUGUACCGAAAAUCAAGUUAAACCCCUAAUCUUUUGAAUAUUUAAAUUACACUUCCAAAUAAAACUACACUUAAAAGCAUAUGAAAUUAUCUUCAUUCCACCAUUGAAAAUUGACAAAAAAAAAAAAGAAAUUUCUUUUUUCGACCAAAGUCGGGAAAAAUGAAGAAAUUACGCUUACGUCCUAUUGUUCGAUUUGAUCGCUUGUACUUUUGUUUCAACAUUAAACAACCAAAAGGUUGUUCUAAUAACUAAAUUAAAGUGUAUUUUGAGUUCAAUUGACUUUUUGUGAACGAAUUACGACGAUUCGUGUUUUCGGCCUGAUUUUUAGCUGCACAAAAAACUGUUUCCGAUCAGAUUUUUUUCGAUGUCAUAAUAAUCGUAUCGAAAUUCUGGUUCGUUUCAUAUAAUUGUUUUUAGAUAUCUUGAUUUCGGAGCACUCCCUCCAAUCCAUUCGGUUACUCAUAAUUGUACCGAAAAUCAAGUUAAACCCCUAAUCUUUUGAAUAUUUCAAUUACACUUCCAAAUAAAACUACACUUAAAAGCAUAUGAAAUUAUCUUCAUUCCACCAUUGAAAAUUGACAAAAAAAAAAAAAGAAAUUUCUUUUUUCGACCAAAGUCGGGAAAAAUGAAGAAAUUACGCUUACGUCCUAUUGUUCGAUUUGAUCGCUUGUACUUUUGUUUCAACAUUAAACAACCAAAAGGUUGUUCUAAUAACUAAAUUAAAGUGUAUUUUGAGUUCAAUUGACUUUUUGUGAACGAAUUACGACGAUUCGUGUUUUCGGCCUGAUUUUUAGCUGCACAAAAAACUGUUUCCGAUCAGAUUUUUUUCGAUGUCAUAAUAAUCGUAUCGAAAUUCUGGUUCGUUUCAUAUAAUUGUUUUUAGAUAUCUUGAUUUCGGAGCACUCCCUCCAAUCCAUUCGGUUACUCAUAAUUGUACCGAAAAUCAAGUUAAACCCCUAAUCUUUUGAAUAUUUAAAUUACACUUCCAAAUAAAACUACACUUAAAACCAUAUGAAAUUAUCUUCAUUCCACCAUUGAAAAUUGACAAAAAAAAAAAAGAAAUUUCUUUUUUCGACCAAAGUCGGGAAAAAUGAAGAAAUUACGCUUACGUCCUAUUGUUCGAUUUGAUCGCUUGUACUUUUGUUUCAACAUUAAACAACCAAAAGGUUGUUCUAAUAACUAAAUUAAAGUGUAUUUUGAGUUCAAUUGACUUUUUGUGAACGAAUUACGACGAUUCGUCUUUUCGGCCUGAUUUUUAGCUGCACAAAAAACUGUUUCCGAUCAGAUUUUUUUCGAUGUCAUAAUAAUCGUAUCGAAAUUCUGGUUCGUUUCAUAUAAUUGUUUUUAGAUAUCUUGAUUUCGGAGCACUCCCUCCAAUCCAUUCGGUUACUCAUAAUUGUACCGAAAAUCAAGUUAAACCCCUAAUCUUUUGAAUAUUUAAAUUACACUUCCAAAUAAAACUACACUUAAAAGCAUAUGAAAUUAUCUUCAUUCCACCAUUGAAAAUUGACAAAAAAAAAAAAGAAAUUUCUUUUUUCGACCAAAGUCGGGAAAAAUGAAGAAAUUACGCUUACGUCCUAUUGUUCGAUUUGAUCGCUUGUACUUUUGUUUCAACAUUAAACAACCAAAAGGUUGUUCUAAUAACUAAAUUAAAGUGUAUUUUGAGUUCAAUUGACUUUUUGUGAACGAAUUACGACGAUUCGUCUUUUCGGCCUGAUUUUUAGCUGCACAAAAAACUGUUUCCGAUCAGAUUUUUUUCGAUGUCAUAAUAAUCGUAUCGAAAUUCUGGUUCGUUUCAUAUAAUUGUUUUUAGAUAUCUUGAUUUCGGAGCACUCCCUCCAAUCCAUUCGGUUACUCAUAAUUGUACCGAAAAUCAAGUUAAACCCCUAAUCUUUUGAAUAUUUCAAUUACACUUCCAAAUAAAACUACACUUAAAAGCAUAUGAAAUUAUCUUCAUUCCACCAUUGAAAAUUGACAAAAAAAAAAAAAGAAAUUUCUUUUUUCGACCAAAGUCGGGAAAAAUGAAGAAAUUACGCUUACGUCCUAUUGUUCGAUUUGAUCGCUUGUACUUUUGUUUCAACAUUAAACAACCAAAAGGUUGUUCUAAUAACUAAAUUAAAGUGUAUUUUGAGUUCAAUUGACUUUUUGUGAACGAAUUACGACGAUUCGUCUUUUCGGCCUGAUUUUUAGCUGCACAAAAAACUGUUUCCGAUCAGAUUUUUUUCGAUGUCAUAAUAAUCGUAUCGAAAUUCUGGUUCGUUUCAUAUAAUUGUUUUUAGAUAUCUUGAUUUCGGAGCACUCCCUCCAAUCCAUUCGGUUACUCAUAAUUGUACCGAAAAUCAAGUUAAACCCCUAAUCUUUUGAAUAUUUAAUUACACUUCCAAAUAAAACUACACUUAAAAGCAUAUGAAAUUAUCUUCAUUCCACCAUUGAAAAUUGACAAAAAAAAAAAAGAAAUUUCUUUUUUCGACCAAAGUCGGGAAAAAUGAAGAAAUUACGCUUACGUCCUAUUGUUCGAUUUGAUCGCUUGUACUUUUGUUUCAACAUUAAACAACCAAAAGGUUGUUCUAAUAACUAAAUUAAAGUGUAUUUUGAGUUCAAUUGACUUUUUGUGAACGAAUUACGACGAUUCGUCUUUUCGGCCUGAUUUUUAGCUGCACAAAAAACUGUUUCCGAUCAGAUUUUUUUCGAUGUCAUAAUAAUCGUAUCGAAAUUCUGGUUCGUUUCAUAUAAUUGUUUUUAGAUAUCUUGAUUUCGGAGCACUCCCUCCAAUCCAUUCGGUUACUCAUAAUUGUACCGAAAAUCAAGUUAAACCCCUAAUCUUUUGAAUAUUUAAUUACACUUCCAAAUAAAACUACACUUAAAAGCAUAUGAAAUUAUCUUCAUUCCACCAUUGAAAAUUGACAAAAAAAAAAAAGAAAUUUCUUUUUUCGACCAAAGUCGGGAAAAAUGAAGAAAUUACGCUUACGUCCUAUUGUUCGAUUUGAUCGCUUGUACUUUUGUUUCAACAUUAAACAACCAAAAGGUUGUUCUAAUAACUAAAUUAAAGUGUAUUUUGAGUUCAAUUGACUUUUUGUGAACGAAUUACGACGAUUCGUCUUUUCGGCCUGAUUUUUAGCUGCACAAAAAACUGUUUCCGAUCAGAUUUUUUUCGAUGUCAUAAUAAUCGUAUCGAAAUUCUGGUUCGUUUCAUAUAAUUGUUUUUAGAUAUCUUGAUUUCGGAGCACUCCCUCCAAUCCAUUCGGUUACUCAUAAUUGUACCGAAAAUCAAGUUAAACCCCUAAUCUUUUGAAUAUUUAAAUUACACUUCCAAAUAAAACUACACUUAAAAGCAUAUGAAAUUAUCUUCAUUCCACCAUUGAAAAUUGACAAAAAAAAAAAAGAAAUUUCUUUUUUCGACCAAAGUCGGGAAAAAUGAAGAAAUUACGCUUACGUCCUAUUGUUCGAUUUGAUCGCUUGUACUUUUGUUUCAACAUUAAACAACCAAAAGGUUGUUCUAAUAACUAAAUUAAAGUGUAUUUUGAGUUCAAUUGACUUUUUGUGAACGAAUUACGACGAUUCGUCUUUUCGGCCUGAUUUUUAGCUGCACAAAAAACUGUUUCCGAUCAGAUUUUUUUCGAUGUCAUAAUAAUCGUAUCGAAAUUCUGGUUCGUUUCAUAUAAUUGUUUUUAGAUAUCUUGAUUUCGGAGCACUCCCUCCAAUCCAUUCGGUUACUCAUAAUUGUACCGAAAAUCAAGUUAAACCCCUAAUCUUUUGAAUAUUUCAAUUACACUUCCAAAUAAAACUACACUUAAAAGCAUAUGAAAUUAUCUUCAUUCCACCAUUGAAAAUUGACAAAAAAAAAAAAAGAAAUUUCUUUUUUCGACCAAAGUCGGGAAAAAUGAAGAAAUUACGCUUACGUCCUAUUGUUCGAUUUGAUCGCUUGUACUUUUGUUUCAACAUUAAACAACCAAAAGGUUGUUCUAAUAACUAAAUUAAAGUGUAUUUUGAGUUCAAUUGACUUUUUGUGAACGAAUUACGACGAUUCGUCUUUUCGGCCUGAUUUUUAGCUGCACAAAAAACUGUUUCCGAUCAGAUUUUUUUCGAUGUCAUAAUAAUCGUAUCGAAAUUCUGGUUCGUUUCAUAUAAUUGUUUUUAGAUAUCUUGAUUUCGGAGCACUCCCUCCAAUCCAUUCGGUUACUCAUAAUUGUACCGAAAAUCAAGUUAAACCCCUAAUCUUUUGAAUAUUUAAAUUACACUUCCAAAUAAAACUACACUUAAAAGCAUAUGAAAUUAUCUUCAUUCCACCAUUGAAAAUUGACAAAAAAAAAAAAAGAAAUUUCUUUUUUCGACCAAAGUCGAGAAAAAUGAAGAAAUUACGCUUACGUCUUAUUGUUCGAUUUGAUCGCUUGUACUUUUGUUUCAACAUUAAACAACCAAAAGGUUGUUCUAAUAACUAAAUUAAAGUGUAUUUUGAGUUCAAUUGACUUUUUGUGAACGAAUUACGACGAUUCGUGUUUUCGGCCUGAUUUUUAGCUGCACAAAAAACUGUUUCCGAUCAGAUUUUUUUCGAUGUCAUAAUAAUCGUAUCGAAAUUCUGGUUCGUUUCAUAGAAUUGUUUUUAGAUAUCUUGAUUUCGGAGCACUCCCUCCAAUCCAUUCGGUUACUCAUAAUUGUACCGAAAAUCAAGUUAAACCCCUAAUCUUUUGAAUAUUUAAAUUACACUUCCAAAUAAAACUACACUUAAAAGCAUAUGAAAUUAUCUUCAUUCCACCAUUGAAAAUUGACAAAAAAAAAAAAGAAAUUUCUUUUUUCGACCAAAGUCGGGAAAAAUGAAGAAAUUACGCUUACGUCCUAUUGUUCGAUUUGAUCGCUUGUACUUUUGUUUCAACAUUAAACAACCAAAAGGUUGUUCUAAUAACUAAAUUAAAGUGUAUUUUGAGUUCAAUUGACUUUUUGUGAACGAAUUACGACGAUUCGUCUUUUCGGCCUGAUUUUUAGCUGCACAAAAAACUGUUUCCGAUCAGAUUUUUUUCGAUGUCAUAAUAAUCGUAUCGAAAUUCUGGUUCGUUUCAUAUAAUUGUUUUUAGAUAUCUUGAUUUCGGAGCACUCCCUCCAAUCCAUUCGGUUACUCAUAAUUGUACCGAAAAUCAAGUUAAACCCCUAAUCUUUUGAAUAUUUAAUUACACUUCCAAAUAAAACUACACUUAAAAGCAUAUGAAAUUAUCUUCAUUCCACCAUUGAAAAUUGACAAAAAAAAAAAAAGAAAUUUCUUUUUUCGACCAAAGUCGGGAAAAAUGAAGAAAUUACGCUUACGUCUUAUUAUUCGAUUUGAUCGCUUGUACUUUUGUUUCAACAUUAAACAACCAAAAGGUUGUUCUAAUAACUAAAUUAAAGUGUAUUUUGAGUUCAAUUGACUUUUUGUUAACGAAUUACGACGAUUCGUCUUUUCGGCCUGAUUUUUAGCUGCACAAAAAACUGUUUCCGAUCAGAUUUUUUUCGAUGUCAUAAUAAUCGUAUCGAAAUUAUGGUUCGCUUCAUAUAAUUGUUUUUAGAUAUCUUGAUUUCGGAGCACUCCCUCCAAUCCAUUCGGUUACUCAUAAUUGUACCGAAAAUCAAGUUAAACCCCUAAUCUUUUGAAUAUUUAAUUACACUUCCAAAUAAAACUACACUUAAAAGCAUAUGAAAUUAUCUUCAUUCCACCAUUGAAAAUUGACAAAAAAAAAAAAAGAAAUUUCUUUUUUCGACCAAAGUCGAGAAAAAUGAAGAAAUUACGCUUACGUCUUAUUGUUCGAUUUGAUCGCUUGUACUUUUGUUUCAAAAUUAAACAAUCAAAAGGUUGUUCUAAUAACUAAAUUAAAGUGUAUUUUGAGUUCAAUUGACUUUUUGUGAACGAAUUUCGACGAUUCGUGUUUUCGGCCUGAUUUUUAGCUGCACAAAAAACUGUUUCCGAUCAGAUUUUUUUCGAUGUCAUAAUAAUCGUAUCGAAAUUCUGGUUCGUUUCAUAGAAUUGUUUUUAGAUAUCUUGAUUUCGGAGCACUCCCUCCAAUCCAUUCGGUUACUCAUAAUUGUACCGAAAAUCAAGUUAAACCCCUAAUCUUUUGAAUAUUUAAAUUACACUUCCAAAUAAAACUACACUUAAAACCAUAUGAAAUUAUCUUCAUUCCACCAUUGAAAAUUGACAAAAAAAAAAAAGAAAUUUU